UCAAAACAUGUCUGUUGGAGGAUUUAUCGAAAGUCUGGUCUGCCCACUGAUUGUUUAUUAAAGGGCCGCGGUAAUUUGACUGUGCAAAGGUAGCAUAAUCAUUAGCUUUUUAAUUGAAAGCUGGAAUGAAUGGCUAGAUGAGAAAUUAACUGUCUUUUUAUAUGAAAUAGAAAUUAACUUUUAAGUGAAAAGGCUUAAAUUUAUUGGGGGGACGAUAAGACCCUGUAAAACUUAAAUACUUUGUUUUGCUGAGAUUAAAAAGUUUGGUUUAAUUUAUUUAGUGUAAUGGGUAUUUUGUUGGGGUGACACAGAUAUAAGUGAAUAAAUAACUGUCUGUUUAAAUUUUAUAGUAUUUUUAGAUUAGGAUCCUCUUAUAGGGAUUGAAAGAGCAAGUUACUUCAGGGAUAACAGCGUAAUUCUCUUUGAGAGUUCUUAUCGACAAGAGUAGUUGCGACCUCGAUGUUGAAUUAAGGUUUCGGAAAGGUGUAGUCGUUUUUCUAGUAGGUCUGUUCGACCUCUAAGAUCUUACAUGAUUUGAGUUCAAACCGGUGUGAGCCAGGU
RNAcentral lists this ribosomal RNA (561 nucleotides) under Sandimenes hirsutus. RNAcentral's name for it is "partial 16S ribosomal RNA". It matches the Rfam family "Bacterial large subunit ribosomal RNA", at positions 1808 to 2631 of the family's 2925-position model. Lineage: Eukaryota; Metazoa; Arthropoda; Malacostraca; Decapoda; Palaemonidae. The record is from RNAcentral.